Long non-coding RNA from Nothoprocta perdicaria, 1181 nucleotides. RefSeq lists it as uncharacterized. The transcript is spliced from 2 exons. The record is from RefSeq and is a predicted model, not a curated record. NCBI's taxonomy places the organism in Eukaryota, Metazoa, Chordata, Aves, Tinamiformes, Tinamidae.
CCUCUCUUUGUAGACUAACUACGACCUUUCUUUGGAAGGAGGACUGAAAAUGUGUUCUCUGUGUAGCAGCCUUUUGAGCAGCCUGCCCAGCAGGCUGGUGCAGGGCCUCCGAAGCCACCAACGUGGCCCAGGGAAAGGGGCUGCUGGGCGGCCCUCUGCCCCGCUCCAGGACUCGGACUGGUGCCAACAUGUGGGCUGGGAAUGCUGCAUCCUGCACUAAGGCCCGGGACAAGCAUCAGAAGGAAACGUGAUCGCUGUGAGAGCCUGGCGGUUGUACAGUGGACACUGGACUAGCCCGUUUCCAAAAGCUAAUUAUUAUGUUGAGGUAAGCACUGUGUAGACUUGCUUGCACUUGCACUGGUUUGCUAGCUGACCUGUCGGUUAUCUUUUGUAUCUUUUCAUCUAGGUGAGUCUUUGGAUAUGACCAAGUUACACAAAGCCCAAAGAAACCUGUCAGUCAUUCAAACAGUAAUAGAUGGCACACAUUUCUAGGGCCUGUUGGUUUUUUUGAUGGCUGUAAGCAGUGCAUAACCCUCAGUCUUCUGGGAUUUGACAUCUUCAUUACAAAUUGGGGCACAGAGGCUGUUGCUGAUACUCGUUCAAGUUUUUCAAUGAACACUUUCUUUCAGCGUUUCCCCCCUCCUCCCUCAAAAGUGCUCCUCCACUGUGGGAUCUUUAUCUGAGACUUCGCUGUAGAGCAGCCUUAUACAACUGCCCUGUUCAAGAGGAUCAUAUUAGCAUCAGCAGCAUGACUCUUUAGAAUGAUAAAUGUGCACUGAAAAGAUCUGGCAUGGAUCUAUUUCUAAAUUUAAGUCUGGACAACAAUUAGAAACAGAGCAAAACUCAGCCACAGACAACUGAGUGCUCUUCCCAGAGACAUUGCACUUUUUUAUCCAGUGUUUUUAUAACAGCAAGGACAGUAAAUAAGUCAGUGCCAUUUCCCAUCCUUCUCCUACCAUCUCCUUACUUAACAACAACUUCUAUUUUGAACCACAUCGGAAAUAACAAACUAUUUAUAAUAAAUGUUCUAAAGAAAUAUAACCAUGAUGCUUUAAAGACAGCCUCUGUUUGUCCAAACAAAAAUUACCUCCUCUCUUCUGUGUCAGUAAUAUGUAAUAACCCAAGAAAACAAGAAACUCAAAUUUAACAACACUGCUAGASUUACGAGUGGCCCAGUUUCC